UACGUAGGUGGCAAGCGUUGUCCGGAUUUACUGGGCGUAAAGGGCGCGUAGGCGGCCCGCUAAGUCGGACGUGAAAUCCCCGGGCUCAACCCGGGAACUGCGUCCGAUACUGGUGGGCUCGAAUCCGGGAGAGGGAUGCGGAAUUCCAGGUGUAGCGGUGAAAUGCGUAGAUAUCUGGAGGAACACCGGUGGCGAAGGCGGCAUCCUGGACCGGUAUUGACGCUGAGGCGCGAAAGCCAGGGGAGCAAACGGG
RNAcentral lists this ribosomal RNA (253 nucleotides) under uncultured bacterium. RNAcentral describes it as "partial 16S ribosomal RNA". It matches the Rfam family "Bacterial small subunit ribosomal RNA", at positions 524 to 776 of the family's 1533-position model. The record is from RNAcentral.